This is a non-coding RNA of Acanthisitta chloris (rifleman), 72 nucleotides long. The record is from Rfam. NCBI's taxonomy places the organism in Eukaryota, Metazoa, Chordata, Aves, Passeriformes, Acanthisittidae.
GGCUUGUUGAUCUAGGGGUAUGAUUCUUGCUUUGUGUGUGAGAGGUCCCAGGUUCAACUCCCAGACGAGCCU